UGGACCUUAUAUAAAAAAACAUCAUAACUGACUUUUAAGAAAGAGCGUCAGGAUAUUUACUAGUCUAUGGUACCUUUACAAUGCUGGGGAUGAAAAAAAAAUGACAACACAAAAAGGGCAUGAUUCCACACACAGGCAAUGGUGAUUAUGUUAUGUGGCUCAUCUUUCUGCUUACACUGAUAUCUGCUGGAGGGCAGACCUGACUGAAACCCACAAGAAUCAUCAGGUGUUCAAGGAUAUGAACAGCAGAAAAGUAUUUGCUAUGAGAGUAGCUGUCCUACGUUUGUUUUGUCUUUCCUGCAGGAUUUAUUUUUUAAGUGAUUUAUUUUCAAUUUUGGCUUAUACAUCUAAUUGUAACUGGAAAAUUCCAGCUCAAAAAUUUACAUAUGCUUAGUGCUUUUAUGGCUUUCCCCAUAAGACAUUCUGUGGUGUAAGAGGCAGAGGAAAAAAAAAAUGAUUCCAAUUACUGAAGGUUUUUAUUUUUAUGGCACAGAUCUGCUCCCUGUUAAACAUCAUGGUAUCAAACUGCCAUGACAUGAAAUCUCUCCUUUUUUUUUUUUUUUUUUUUUUUUCCCCAGACUGUCGAUUAACUGAGGCCACAUUUUGCAGUGGGAAGGAUGCUGUUGCUGCUUGCCUACCCGUAGCCCUAAGGAAACAUGAGGAGGAAAUCAGUCCCACCCAAGCCCCGCUGCCAAGUGUUUGUACAGGUGUCACUAAUUAGGGCAGAAUUUGGCCUGCAAAAAACAUCCAGCCACAGAUACUGGAGAAAACUGCCAAUUUGGUUUGGGGGGGGAAAUCUCUCAGACAAGUUUGCAGAAGGGCUUAGUGUGGUCAUAGCGUAACAAACUGAUUUUUUUUUUUUUGUUUUGGUUUGUUUGUUUUUUGUGAAUUGAGUAUCCUUGGUCUGUGUACUGAAUCUGACUGGGAGAGAGUUAAUCAUCUUCAUAGCAGCCCAUAUAGUAGUGUGUUUUGGAAGCAGCACAUCAUGGAGCUGUAUGUCACAGCCAUCCUACCUGUGUGUGGGCUUUUCUUCUCCACAACACCCCAAGGGAAUAGAUGAGGGCACUGGCUCAUUUGCAGCAACUUCUCAUGAACAGCAAGGAACAGCCACGUGGAGUGGCACAGAGUGAUAGAACUGGUGUGAACCCUCUCCUGCUUGCUCUCUGUCAAGAAAAGAAAAUGAAGACACCCAGCAAACAUGUACCCAGGAUUCUCUAGAUGAAAAGAACUCAAAAUAAGUGGCAGUGCCUCGGAUGUGCUGUGUAUAAGCACAAGGACAGUUACUUCAGCAUGGAUGGCACAGAGCAACUCAAAGAACAAUAAUACAUUGCAGUUUGCAGUCAGUAAUAGCUCUCCAUAGCUGAAAUCCUCAUUUGCAAUGAGAGCCUUCUCUAAGGUUUUAAUGAGAGAGUAGCUCUCAA
Anas platyrhynchos (mallard) is the source of this 1421-nucleotide long non-coding RNA. RefSeq lists it as uncharacterized. The record is from RefSeq and is a predicted model, not a curated record. Lineage: Eukaryota; Metazoa; Chordata; Aves; Anseriformes; Anatidae.